AGAGUUUGAUCCUGGCUCAGGAUGAACGCUGGCGGCGUGCUUAACACAUGCAAGUCGAACGGGAUCUUCGGAUCUAGUGGCGGACGGGUGAGUAACACGUGGGAACCUGCCUUCAGGAGGGGGAUAACAACCGGAAACGGGUGCUAAUACCCCAUAGGCCGCAAGGUAAAAGAUUUAUCGCCUGAAGAUGGGCCCGCGUCUGAUUAGCUAGUUGGUGAGGUAACGGCUCACCAAGGCAACGAUCAGUAGCUGGUCUGAGAGGAUGAUCAGCCACACUGGGACUGAGACACGGCCCAGACUCCUACGGGAGGCAGCAGUGGGGAAUUUUCCGCAAUGGGCGCAAGCCUGACGGAGCAACGCCGCGUGGGUGAUGAAGGCCCGUGGGUCGUAAAGCCCUUUUGUCAGGGACGAAAUCUGACGGUACCUGACGAAUCAGCAUCGGCUAACUCCGUGCCAGCAGCCGCGGUAAUUC
RNAcentral lists this ribosomal RNA (472 nucleotides) under uncultured bacterium. Its description in RNAcentral is "bacterial SSU rRNA". It matches the Rfam family "Bacterial small subunit ribosomal RNA", at positions 8 to 526 of the family's 1533-position model. The record is from RNAcentral.